This 496-nucleotide ribosomal RNA is filed under the name uncultured bacterium. Its description in RNAcentral is "partial 16S ribosomal RNA". It matches the Rfam family "Bacterial small subunit ribosomal RNA", at positions 30 to 523 of the family's 1533-position model. The record is from RNAcentral.
AUUGAACGCUGGCGGCAGGCCUAACACAUGCAAGUCGAGGGGUAGAGUUAGCUUGCUAACUUGAGACCGGCGCACGGGUGCGUAACGCGUAUGCAAUCUACCUUGUACAGAGGGAUAGCCCAGAGAAAUUUGGAUUAAUACCUCAUAGUAUUAUUGAAUGGCAUCAUUUGAUUAUUAAAGUUCCAACGGUACAAGAUGAGCAUGCGUCCCAUUAGCUAGAUGGUAAGGUAACGGCUUACCAUGGCAACGAUGGGUAGGGGUCCUGAGAGGGAGAGCCCCCACACUGGUACUGGGACACGGACCAGACUCCUACGGGAGGCAGCAGUGAGGAAUAUUGGUCAAUGGGCGCAAGCCUGAACCAGCCAUGCCGCGUGCAGGAAGACGGUCCUAUGGAUUGUAAACUGCUUUUAUACGGGAAUAAACCCUGCUACGUGUAGCAGCUUGACGGUACCGUAAGAAUAAGCAUCGGCUAACUCCGUGCCAGCAGCCGCCGUAA